AGUGAACGCUGGCGGCAGGCCUAACACAUGCAAGUCGAACGGCAGCACAAGAGAGCUUGCUCUCUGGGUGGCGAGUGGCGGACGGGUGAGGAAUGCAUCGGGAUCUGCCCAUUUGUGGGGGAUAACCUCGGGAAACCGGGACUAAUACCGCAUACGACCUACGGGUGAAAGCAGGGGAUCUUCGGACCUUGCGCAGAUGGAUGAGCCGAUGCCGGAUUAGCUAGUUGGAGGGGUAAAGGCCCACCAAGGCGACGAUCCGUAGCUGGUCUGAGAGGAUGAUCAGCCACACUGGGACUGAGACACGGCCCAGACUCCUACGGGAGGCAGCAGUGGGGAAUAUUGGACAAUGGGCGCAAGCCUGAUCCAGCCAUGCCGCGUGUGUGAAGAAGGCCUUCGGGUUGUAAAGCACUUUUGUUGGGAAAGAAAAGCAGCCGGUUAAUACCCGGUUGUCAUGACGGUACCCAAAGAAUAAGCACCGGCUAACUUCGUG
RNAcentral lists this ribosomal RNA (490 nucleotides) under uncultured bacterium. RNAcentral's name for it is "partial 16S ribosomal RNA". It matches the Rfam family "Bacterial small subunit ribosomal RNA", at positions 29 to 507 of the family's 1533-position model. The record is from RNAcentral.